RNAcentral lists this non-coding RNA (58 nucleotides) under Arabidopsis halleri subsp. gemmifera. Lineage: Eukaryota; Viridiplantae; Streptophyta; Magnoliopsida; Brassicales; Brassicaceae. The record is from RNAcentral.
AACUGGUCGUGAUCUAUAGCCAAUCACCUGAUGAGCCCAAGGUAGGGCGAAACGAGUA